UCGCCAUCCUGAAAUACAGGUGUGGGCAGCUCCGAGAUCAGAUAAAAAAAAAUCGCAGAGCAUCCAGGAAACAGCUUGUCGAGGUCAUCAAUGCGGGCGACGCUGUCACCAAAAAACGGAAGGCCGUCGUCGCAAAGGAGGAGAGAAUGCUGCGUCGCAUCAAGAUAUGCCACAAGUUGGAGAGCAAAGUCGCUCCAUUGCUGUCACCGUGGCUGCCCAAUGACAGCUACAUACAGGAUCUCAGCGACUUUCAGGAGAAAACCAUCUGUCAGCAUGAUCUCAGCUACCUUCAGGUGAAAAUCAAUGCCGCCCUGAUCGCCCGGGAUACCCUCAAGAAACAGAGCCCACCUGAUCCAAAAGAAGCA
Melanotaenia boesemani (Boeseman's rainbowfish) is the source of this 365-nucleotide long non-coding RNA. RefSeq lists it as uncharacterized. The transcript is spliced from 3 exons. The record is from RefSeq and is a predicted model, not a curated record. Lineage: Eukaryota; Metazoa; Chordata; Actinopteri; Atheriniformes; Melanotaeniidae.